GAUGAACGCUGGCGGCGUGCCUAAUACAUGCCAGUCGAGCGAACAGACGAGGAGCUUGCUCCUCUGACGUUAGCGGCGGACGGGUGAGUAACACGUGGAUAACCUACCUAUAAAACUGGGAUAACUUCGGGAAACCGGAGCUAAUACCGGAUAAUAUAUUGAACCGCAUGGUUCAAUAGUGAAAGACGGUUUUGCUGUCACUUAUAGAUGGAUCCGCGCCGCAUUAGCUAGUUGGUAAGGUAACGGCUUACCAAGGCAACGAUGCGUAGCCGACCUGAGAGGGUGAUCGGCCACACUGGAACUGAGACACGGUCCAGACUCCUACGGGAGGCAGCAGUAGGGAAUCUUCCGCAAUGGGCGAAAGCCUGACGGAGCAACGCCGCGUGAGUGAUGAAGGUCUUCGGAUCGUAAAACUCUGUUAUUAGGGAAGAACAAAUGUGUAAGUAACUAUGCACGUCUUGACGGUACCUAAUCAGAAAGCCACGGCUAACUACGUG
RNAcentral lists this ribosomal RNA (497 nucleotides) under uncultured bacterium. Its description in RNAcentral is "partial 16S ribosomal RNA". It matches the Rfam family "Bacterial small subunit ribosomal RNA", at positions 28 to 507 of the family's 1533-position model. The record is from RNAcentral.